Molecule: non-coding RNA, 975 nt
Organism: Lolium perenne
Lineage: Eukaryota; Viridiplantae; Streptophyta; Magnoliopsida; Poales; Poaceae
Source: RefSeq, a predicted model, not a curated record
GAAGCGGAUUCUGCUCGCUUCCCACGAGCGCCCGCCGCAGCCGCCGCCGACGCCGCCCGGCAGCCGCAGCCGCCGCCCCCUCCCCCCGUCGCGUGGGAUCACGGCCCCGACCUCUCCGUCGCCACCCCCUCUCCUCCGUCGCAGCCCGUCGGCCCAUCGCGGGGACUCACGGCCCCGGCCUCUCCGUCGAACCCCCCCCCCUCUCCUCCGUCGCGGCCGCGAGCCGCCGCUCCUCCACCCGUCACGGGGCCCUGGCAUGUCCAUCCCAGCCGCGAGCCGCCGCCGCCCCCUCCCUCUAUCGCGGGGAUCGCUUGGAGAUUCACGGACCCGUCCCCUCCGUAGCGGGAAUCGGCUGGACUGCUGGAGCGUCGCUGGGAUCGCUGGGAGCAUCCAACCCCUACCUAACGAGUCCAUGUUGCCUCCUUCAAUCGCUUUUGUGGCCGUCCAUUAUGACCCAGCUAGCUGCUCUGGUAAAUUCUCGGGUCUGUCGGUGCAUUGGCACAGCAUGGUUCAUUUGCGAAAGGAUGGCAGAUCAAUUUCAACUAGCUUGGUGAGCUCUGCAUCACCGUCAAUGUUCUCAACAGUGGCUACUUGCUUCGCUGUCAACGAUCCAUCGCAACGGCCUUUUAUGGGUGAAAUGGUGCAGACGCUGAAACGGAUUUACAAUGACGCAGAGGAUGCCGGCGGUGAUUCACACCCACAGGGAAUCAUCGUGUCAGACGAUGACCGAUAAUGGGGCUUCGUCUUUGACAGUGGCAAUGUGGUAGCUUGCGGUUCAUCUCUCAGAGUUGCUAGAUGUUAAAUUACUAUUAGGUCGUGCUAUAACUUGUACUGAAUUUACAGAAGAUGGCAUGGUAGCUCAUGCUAUAACUUGUACCGAACUAUGAUAAAUUUCAAAAACACGUAAUAUUUCUUUGAAGGACAUAAUCACAUUAGUACUGCAUUUUCAUUUAUCAAGAAGACAGUAGCUACCAA